UACGUAGGGUACGAGCGUUGUCCGGAAUUACUGGGCGUAAAGAGCUCGUAGGUGGUUUGUCGCGUUGUUCGUGAAAACCGGGGGCUUAACCCUCGGCGUGCGGGCGAUACGGGCAGACUUGAGUACUGCAGGGGAGACUGGAAUUCCUGGUGUAGCGGUGGAAUGCGCAGAUAUCAGGAGGAACACCGGUGGCGAAGGCGGGUCUCUGGGCCGUAACUGACGCUGAGGAGCGAAAGCGUGGGGAGCGAACAGG
This 253-nucleotide ribosomal RNA is filed under the name uncultured bacterium. Its description in RNAcentral is "partial 16S ribosomal RNA". It matches the Rfam family "Bacterial small subunit ribosomal RNA", at positions 524 to 776 of the family's 1533-position model. The record is from RNAcentral.